RNAcentral lists this ribosomal RNA (390 nucleotides) under Medaeus sp. nov. JCYL-2010. Its description in RNAcentral is "partial 12S ribosomal RNA". Lineage: Eukaryota; Metazoa; Arthropoda; Malacostraca; Decapoda; Xanthidae. The record is from RNAcentral.
UUAGAUACCCUAUUAUACUAAGAAGGCCCUGAAUUAUUGUUAGAUAUGUUCUUUAAAUUUAAAGAAUUUGGCGGUGAUUUAGUCUUGUUAGAGGAACCUGUUUUUGAAUCGAUAAACCACGGAGUAUCUUUCUUAUUUUUGUAUGUCAGUUUAUAUACCGUCAUUAUUAGAUAAUUUUAAAAAGAAAAAAUUAUUGGAAUUUUAAUAAAAUAGAAAAUGAAAUUAGAUCAAGGUGUAGCUAAUAAGUAAGUUAAAAUGGGUUACAAUAAAAUUUAUAUAUAUACGGAAGUAAUAAUUUAAAAUGUUAUUAAAGGUGGAUUUAAUUGUAAUGAGAGUUUAAUAUGCUCUUAAGGCAUAAGCUCUAGAUCAUGUACAUAUCGCCCGUCGCUA